AGCUAAGAAUAUUCCGCAAUGGACGAAAGUCUGACGGAGCGACGCCGCGUGGAUGAUGAAGGCCGAAAGGUUGUAAAAUCCUUUUGCUGAGGAAGAAUAAGUGUGGGAGGGAAUGCCCGCAUGAUGACAUGAAUCGGCGAAUAAGCCCCGGCCAACUACGUGCCAGCAGCCGCGGUAACACGUAGGGGGCGAGCGUUGUUCGGAAUUACUGGGCGUAAAGGGCAUGUAGGCGGUUAUGUAAGCCUGGCGUGAAAGGCCACAGCUCAACUGUGGGAUUGCGUUGGGAACUAGAUGACUAGAGUUACGGAGAGGGAGCUAGAAUUCCUGGUGUAGGGGUGGAAUCUGUAGAGAUCAGGAAGAAUACCGAUGGCGAAGGCAAGCUCCUGGCCGAUGACUGACGCUGAGGUGCGAAAGUGUGGGGAUCAAACAGGAUUAGAUACCCUGGUAGUCCACACUGUAAACGAUGUGCACUAGGUGCUGGGGCGGAUGCUUCAGUGCCGUAGCUAACGUGAUAAGUGCACCG
This 523-nucleotide ribosomal RNA is filed under the name uncultured bacterium. RNAcentral describes it as "bacterial SSU rRNA". It matches the Rfam family "Bacterial small subunit ribosomal RNA", at positions 353 to 871 of the family's 1533-position model. The record is from RNAcentral.